GGACUACUGGGGUAUCUAAUCCCGUUUGCUCCCCUAGCUUUCGCGCCUCAGCGUCAGAAGAGGUCCAGCAGGUCGCUUUCGCCACCGGCGUUCCUUCCGAUCUCUACGCAUUUCACCGCUCCACCGGAAGUUCCACCUGCCCCUACCUCCCUCAAGACGACCAGUAUCCGAGGCUAUUUUCCGGUUGAGCCGAAAGAUUUCACCCCAGACUUGGUUAUCCGCCUACGCGCCCUUUAAGCCCAGUGAAUCCGAACAACGUUCGCACGGUUCGUCUUACCGCGGCUGCUGGCAC
RNAcentral lists this ribosomal RNA (292 nucleotides) under uncultured Planctomycetota bacterium. Its description in RNAcentral is "uncultured planctomycete partial 16S ribosomal RNA". Lineage: Bacteria; Pseudomonadati; Planctomycetota. The record is from RNAcentral.